Molecule: long non-coding RNA, 305 nt
Filed under: Phaseolus vulgaris (common bean)
Lineage: Eukaryota; Viridiplantae; Streptophyta; Magnoliopsida; Fabales; Fabaceae
Description: long non-coding RNA (PVUL_LNC004537)
Source: RNAcentral
GAUGUAGAUUUCAAGAGAGAAGAGUGAGGAGGGUGUGCUCCACCAUUGCAGGCCUUAUGACUAAGCCUGAGCUUCAUCCACCUUGGAUUCACGCUUUCUCUUUCAACGAUCAAGACUCAUCAAAAACACUUGCAAAACUUCAACGUUGAGACCCAACUUAAUCAUGCCUCAACAUGUUAUAUUUUCCCAGCUUUCCCUGUCCUUUUUAGUUUCACACGAACCAAACUUAAAUACCACUCUCAAACUCCAUCCAUGUCGCUGCAUAAUUGCAACCCAUCACUUCAUCAUCAACUUCUUCAUUAUAU